UCAAGCUAUGCAAUCAAGAGUCAAUUUUAUUAUUAUUAUCAAUUAGAUAUAUAUCUAAUUAGAGAUAGAAAGUGUUUUCGUUUCUUUGAACGCAUUAAUUUUUUUACCGAAUUUAAUACUGUACCUACAAAAUAUUAAACAAGAAUUAUUAUGAGUUUGAAAACAAAAAUGCAACUGCAAAUUUUUUAUGUAGCCUGUUACUACAAUAAUGACUACAACUCCUAAGUCAAAAUUCGUCUAGAAAUUGAGGUGUAGAGCUUCUAAAGUAAUAUACAAACAUACAUUCACUCGGAAAACAUAACCCUCUUUCCUUUUCAGUCGGGUAAUAAACAAAUAUGUUUAAUUACUGUCAGGUACUUGUUACUGUGAAACCGAUACGGAUGUGAUUUUACUGUGGGUGUCGUAAAAUGUGAUUGUAUGGAUAAAGGUCGUAAUAUCGAAGCUUGCUUUUUUAUCACCAAACAUACCAGGAAAGAAACGCAAGCAAGCAAGCAGACAGUUGAAAGGCUGCGGAGGUUCCGUUAUAUCUUGCACCAUUGUCAAUGAUGAAUAGUCAAUACGGAACUUGGCUAAUAAAUUUGCCAUACUGAAACAUGAAUAAAUUUCCAUUUCAUGGUGUCUGUUAGCGAGUGCAAAGAUCCUCAGCUUGCAGUUGGCCCAAGCGCUGCGUUGCGAGAGGAUGUAUGGCAGCAAGAUGGUCAACCCGCCGUCGUCGUACAACCACCAGACAUCUAGAGUUCCGC
This is a long non-coding RNA of Colias croceus (clouded yellow), 743 nucleotides long. RefSeq lists it as uncharacterized. The transcript is spliced from 4 exons. The record is from RefSeq and is a predicted model, not a curated record. NCBI's taxonomy places the organism in Eukaryota, Metazoa, Arthropoda, Insecta, Lepidoptera, Pieridae.